This 406-nucleotide ribosomal RNA is filed under the name uncultured Pseudomonas sp. Its description in RNAcentral is "bacterial SSU rRNA". It matches the Rfam family "Bacterial small subunit ribosomal RNA", at positions 979 to 1382 of the family's 1533-position model. Lineage: Bacteria; Pseudomonadati; Pseudomonadota; Gammaproteobacteria; Pseudomonadales; Pseudomonadaceae. The record is from RNAcentral.
CCUUGACAUGCAGAGAACUUCCAGAGAUGGAUUGGUGCCUUCGGGAACUCUGACACAGGUGCUGCAUGGCUGUCGUCAGGCUCGUGUCGUGAGAUGUUCGGGUUAAGUCCCGUAACGAGCGCAACCCUUGUCCUUAGUUACCAGCACGUUAUGGUGGGCACUCUAAGGAGACUGCCGGUGACAAACCGGAGGAAGGUGGGGAUGACGUCAAGUCAUCAUGGCCCUUACGGCCUGGGCUACACACGUGCUACAAUGGUCGGUACAAAGGGUUGCCAAGCCGCGAGGUGGAGCUAAUACCCAUAAAACCGAUCGUAGUCCGGAUCGCAGUCUGCAACUCGACUGCGUGAAGUCGGAAUCGCUAGUAAUCGUGAAUCAGAAUGUCACGGUGAAUACGUUCCCGGGCCUU